This is a non-coding RNA of Rattus norvegicus (Norway rat), 2182 nucleotides long. NCBI's taxonomy places the organism in Eukaryota, Metazoa, Chordata, Mammalia, Rodentia, Muridae. The record is from RefSeq and is a predicted model, not a curated record.
GUAACUCUGUCCCUCAAAUGUCUUAUAGAAGGCCAGCUGCCGCCUUUGUUGUGUUGUGUUUUGUGUCUAUGAAGGUUUCAUCAAUACCUGUGGAGGCCACAAGGUGGCAUCAGAUCCCCUGGAAUUGGAGUCAUGUAUGUUUUCUGAGCCGUCAUAUGGGUAGGGUAACCAGAUGUGGGCCCUCUGUGAGAGCAGCCAGUGAUGCUACCCACUGAGUCACCUCUCUGCUCCCCAUAUGAUGUUUUAAUAAUAAUUUUUUCUAUUGUUAUCUAAAGAUCAGUUGACCAGAUUGUUAGUAUAUUUGAAGACCCUGUGUGCUCACCGUUGUCUUGAUACUCUUCACGUCUUAGCACUGUCCUGAUGGGUCUCCUUCCAGCUCCUUUGCAGUUUUAGGCUGGCACUGUGGACCUGAACAUGGUGUGCGUGGCAUUGGGGCAUCUAUGCCCCCACUACCUGCUAUUACGAAGCCCUAGGUGUCCUGGAUUUUCCCCUGUAGACCAGGCUGUCUUCAAACUCAAGAGCUCCAUCUGCCUCUCUGCGCCUCUGCCUCUCUAUGCCUCUGCCCCUGCCCCUGCCUCUGCCUCUGCCCCUGCCCCUGCCCCUGCCCCUGCCCCUGGCCCCUGCCCCUCCCCCUGCCCCUGGCCCCUGCCCCUCCCCCUGGCCCUGCCCCUGCCCCUCCCCCUGCCCCUGCCCCUGCCCCUGCCCCUGCCCCUGCCCCUGGCCCUGCCCCUGCCCCUGGCCCUGCCCCUGGCCCUGCCCCUGCCCCUGGCCCUGCCCCUGCCCCUGCCUCCCAAGUGCUGGGACUAAAGGCAUGCACCACCACUUCCAACCUGCAUUUUCGUUCAUGUUAUUGGACUAGCAGGUUAAGUGGCUCUCUGCUUGUGUCUGUUGGAGCAAGUUGUGUUCUGUGUAGUGGACGUUGUGCCGAGGAGCUAGGGUCUGUGGCAUCUCACCUGCAGAUCCGCGGAGCGCUUUGCAUGUGGACUCCAGUGGCUGCUUUUUCUUCUCCUUCCACCUUCUGGUCAUAAAGAGACAGACUUUGACGUGGUUAUAGAAGGAUUGUACAACAGCAGGUCAUCACUUGUUGUACGCUCUGCCCUGUGGCUUUCAAAAAUAACUUGUUUCUGAACCUGAGUUUCCUCAUUUUCACGAGCAGCUUAUGGGUUACUUGAUAUUUUCAACCCUUUGGCAUUAACACUUUACCACUAAAAAUGUGGUUAUCUAGUCAGCAUUUUCUCAGUCCCAUCUACACUCCGGCUGAUGUUCCUUUAAGGGAGGGAUAUUCCACAGCAGUAUCUGCUUUCUCACUGUUACUGUCUUAGCUUCUUUCUCUGUUGCUGUAAUAAAAUUCCCUGACAAGAGUCUUAAGGAGGAAAUGGUUUACCUUGGCUUACUGAUGCACAUUAUAUGAGGGGGCCACAGUAAAAAGCAGAGAGCAACGAAUGCCAGCUCAGAGCUCUGUCUCCACUGAAUGCCUUUCAGGAUCUCACCCACGAAAUGUUCCUGUCUUCCCCAUAUCAAGUAAGGCGGUCUGGAUAAUCUCUCACAGAUGCUCUCAGAUGCUGACCAUAAACUAAUCCCUCAUAGGGAAGCCUGGAGUCUUGCCUCAUAGGUGAUGCUAGACUGUCAAGUUGAUGUGUAACUGUCACCUAGUCUUAGGUCCCCAGGAAUGCCCACUUUUCUUACAUUUAGUUAUUUAACUUCCUAAACAUUGGACUCAUUGGUAUUCCAUGCUUUCUUAUUAUAAUGCAUGUCUCCAUACAUUACCUUCUAAGUAUCCUGUGAUGUGCCUUCUCUAAUGCUUGGUAGGACAUGAGGGCCCCUAAAUGCCUACUCUUCAAGGACAAAUGCUUAUGUGUACAGAAUAUUUACAGCUUCAUUUCAGUCCGGUUUCUUAAUGUUUUCAAACACACAGCCAUCUGAUUUCAGAAUGAAUAAAAAUAACUGCCAGAGAGGAGGGUGCUGUUGCUCUGGCACAGCCUGCAGCCUGCCCCACCAGCCACCCACCCUAGACUCACUGAAUCGGUUGUCACAGCCUUCUCUCAAAAGUGUGUGUUGAGGGGUUGGGGAUUUAGCUCAGUGGUAGAGCGCUUGCCUAGCAAGCUCAAGGCCCUGGGUUCGGUCCCCAGCUCCAAAAAAAAAAAAAAAAAAAAAAAAAAAAAAGUGUGUGUUGCCACAGAAG